GCCAGGCGUGGUGGUGCACUCCUGUAAUCUCAGCUACUUGGGAGGCUGAGGCAGGAGAAUCACUUGAACCCAGGAGGCGGAGGUUGCAAUGAGCUGAGGUUGAGCCAUUGCAUUCCAGCCUGGGCAACAGAGUGAGACUCUGUCUCAA
This 148-nucleotide non-coding RNA is filed under the name Pan troglodytes (chimpanzee). Lineage: Eukaryota; Metazoa; Chordata; Mammalia; Primates; Hominidae. The record is from Rfam by way of RNAcentral.